GACGAACGCUGGCGGCGUGGAUUAGGCAUGCAAGUCGAACGGUAUCAUCCUUUCGGGGGUGAGAGAGUGGCGAACUGGUGAGUAACACGUAGGUUAUCUACCCUCAAGACGGGGACAACCCAGGGAAACUUGGGCUAAUACCGGAUGUGAGCAACUUUUAGUUGUUUGAAAGGUGGCGUAAGCUGUCGCUUGGGGAUGAGCCUGCGUCCUAUUAGUUAGUUGGUGAGGUAACGGCUCACCUAGGCAAUGAUAGGUAGGCGGCCUUUAACGGGUGGUCGCCCACACUGGGAUUGAGAUACGGCCCAGACUCCUACGGGAGGCAGGCAGUCGAGAAUAGUCUACAAUGGUCGGAAGACUGAUAGUGCGACGCCGCGUGAACGAUGAAUCCCUUCGGGGUGUAAAGUUCUUUUAUAUGUGAGCAGUGCUUCUUAUAUUAACAGUAUGGGGAGUAGAGAUAUUAGCAUAUGAAUAAGCAACGGCUAACUCCGUGCCAGCAGCCGCGGUAAACU
Molecule: ribosomal RNA, 509 nt
Filed under: uncultured bacterium
Lineage: Bacteria
Description: bacterial SSU rRNA
Rfam family: Bacterial small subunit ribosomal RNA
Source: RNAcentral